GAUGAAGCACGUAGCGAAAUGCGAUAAGUAAUGUGAAUUGCAGAAUUCAGUGAAUCAUCGAAUCUUUGAACGCACAUUGCGCCCAUUAGUAUUCUAGUGGGCAUGCCUGUUCGAGCGUCAUUAAGUCCACUUAAGCCCUGCUUAGUGUUGGGAGACUGCUCCAGCGGUGCUACCCUGUAGCUACCCUGCAGCUCCUCAAAGACAGCGGCGGAGUUGUGGUAUCCUCUGAGCUUAGUAACUUGUUCUAGCUUUCGAGUACACCACUUCCCCUGCCGUAAAACCCUUAAUUUUUAAUGGUUGACCUCGGAUCAGGUAGGAAUACCCGCUGAACUUAAGCAUAUCAAUAAGCGGAGGA
This 355-nucleotide unclassified non-coding RNA is filed under the name soil metagenome. RNAcentral describes it as "partial contains 5.8S ribosomal RNA, internal transcribed spacer 2, and large subunit ribosomal RNA". The stretch from base 1 to 120 matches the Rfam family "5.8S ribosomal RNA", at positions 35 to 154 of the family's 154-position model. The record is from RNAcentral.